RNAcentral lists this non-coding RNA (21 nucleotides) under Caenorhabditis elegans. Lineage: Eukaryota; Metazoa; Nematoda; Chromadorea; Rhabditida; Rhabditidae. The record is from RNAcentral.
UGCAUUCGGCAUUUUUAUAUU